This is a ribosomal RNA of 734 nucleotides. It matches the Rfam family "Bacterial small subunit ribosomal RNA", at positions 381 to 1115 of the family's 1533-position model.
GUCUGAUGGAGCACGCCGCGUGAGUGAAGAAGGUUUUCGGAUCGUAAAACUCUGUUGUGAGGGAAGAACAAGUACGAGAGUAACUGCUCGUACCUUGACGGUACCUCAUUAGAAAGCCACGGCUAACUACGUGCCAGCAGCCGCGGUAAUACGUAGGUGGCAAGCGUUGUCCGGAAUUAUUGGGCGUAAAGCGCGCGCAGGCGGUCCUUUAAGUCUGAUGUGAAAGCCCACGGCUCAACCGUGGAGGGUCAUUGGAAACUGGGGGACUUGAGUGCAGAAGAGGAAAGCGGAAUUCCAAGUGUAGCGGUGAAAUGCGUAGAGAUUUGGAGGAACACCAGUGGCGAAGGCGGCUUUCUGGUCUGUAACUGACGCUGAGGCGCGAAAGCGUGGGGAGCAAACAGGAUUAGAUACCCUGGUAGUCCACGCCGUAAACGAUGAGUGCUAAGUGUUAGGGGGUUUCCGCCCCUUAGUGCUGCAGCUAACGCAUUAAGCACUCCGCCUGGGGAGUACGGUCGCAAGACUGAAACUCAAAGGAAUUGACGGGGGCCCGCACAAGCGGUGGAGCAUGUGUUUAAUUCGAAGCAACGCGAAGAACCUUACCAGGUCUUGACAUCCCGCUGACCGGCCUAGAGAUAGGCUUUCCCUUCGGGACAGCGGUGAAGGUGGUGCAUGUUGUCGUCAGCUCGAUGUCUGAGAUGUUGGUAAGUCCGCAACGAGCGCACCUUGAUCUUAGU